RNAcentral lists this ribosomal RNA (451 nucleotides) under uncultured bacterium. RNAcentral describes it as "bacterial SSU rRNA". It matches the Rfam family "Bacterial small subunit ribosomal RNA", at positions 42 to 482 of the family's 1533-position model. The record is from RNAcentral.
GCAGGCCUAACACAUGCAAGUCGAACGGUAGCACAGAGAGCUUGCUCUCGGGUGACGAGUGGCGGACGGGUGAGUAAUGUCUGGGAAACUGCCUGAUGGAGGGGGAUAACUACUGGAAACGGUAGCUAAUACCGCAUAACGUCUUCGGACCAAAGUGGGGGACCUUCGGGCCUCACACCAUCGGAUGUGCCCAGAUGGGAUUAGCUAGUAGGUGGGGUAAUGGCUCACCUAUGCGACGAUCCCUAGCUGGUCUGAGAGGAUGACCAGCCACACUGGAACUGAGACACGGUCCAGACUCCUACGGGAGGCAGCACGUGGGGAAUAUUGCACAAUGGGCGCAAGCCUGAUGCAGCCAUGCCGCGUGUAUGAAGAAGGCCUUCGGGUUGUGAAGUACUUUCAGCGGGGAGGAAGGCGAUAAGGUUAAUAACCCUUGUAGAUUGACGUUACCCCG